GAUGAACGCUGGCGGCGUGCCUAAUACAUGCAAGUCGAGCGAACAGAUGAGGAGCUUGCUCCUCUGACGUUAGCGGCGGACGGGUGAGUAACACGUGGAUAACCUACCUAUAAGACUGGGAUAACUUCGGGAAACCGGAGCUAAUACCGGAUAAUAUAUUGAACCGCAUGGUUCAAUAGUGAAAGACGGUUUUGCUGUCACUUAUAGAUGGAUCCGCGCCGCAUUAGCUAGUUGGUAAGGUAACGGCUUACCAAGGCAACGAUGCGUAGCCGACCUGAGAGGGUGAUCGGCCACCCGGGAACUGAGACACGGUCCAGACUCCUACGGGAGGCAGCAGUAGGGAAUCUUCCGCAAUGGGCGAAAGCCUGACGGAGCAACGCCGCGUGAGUGAUGAAGGUCUUCGGAUCGUAAAACUCUGUUAUUAGGGAAGAACAAAUGUGUAAGUAACUAUGCACGUCUUGACGGUACCUAAUCAGAAAGCCACGGCUAACUACGUG
RNAcentral lists this ribosomal RNA (497 nucleotides) under uncultured bacterium. RNAcentral describes it as "partial 16S ribosomal RNA". It matches the Rfam family "Bacterial small subunit ribosomal RNA", at positions 28 to 507 of the family's 1533-position model. The record is from RNAcentral.